Molecule: ribosomal RNA, 375 nt
Filed under: uncultured organism
Description: partial 16S ribosomal RNA
Rfam family: Bacterial small subunit ribosomal RNA
Source: RNAcentral
GUAGGUGGCAAGCGUUGUCCGGAAUUAUUGGGCGUAAAGCGCGCGCAGGCGGUCCUUUAAGUCUGAUGUGAAAGCCCACGGCUCAACCGUGGAGGGUCGUUGGAAACUGGGGGACUUGAGUACAGAAGAGGAAAGCGGAAUUCCAAGUGUAGCGGUGAAAUGCGUAGAGAUUUGGAGGAACACCAGUGGCGAAGGCGGCUUUCUGGUCUGUAACUGACGCUGAGGCGCGAAAGCGUGGGGAGCAAACAGGAUUAGAUACCCUGGUAGUCCACGCCGUAAACGAUGAGUGCUAAGUGUUAGGGGGUUUCCCGCCCCCCUUAGUGCUGCAGCUAACGCAUUAAGCACUCCGCCUGGGGAGUACGGCCCGCAAGGCUG